AGAAGGCUUCGAGCUCCACCACUGAAGCGAAUGAACCCAUAGAGACUGUGGAGUUAGACCCUUUUUCUGAGUAUGAGAACGUCUCAGACCUGAACAUGGUCUCUGCAGAACAGACAGAAGAACCAGAGGAGCAGGAGGACCUGGUGUGAAGAUGCAUCAAACCAGAGGGAGACUCACCUGGAUGAAACAGAAAGAAGUGAAACAUUGAAGAGGAAACAUUUACCCUCAAGUUUUCAUGGUGUUAAGUAACAGUAGGUAGGAGUGAAAGCAGUCAGAAACAACAUGUAGCAGGAGAUGGAGUAACAUUUUUAUUUUAAUGUACAGUAUAUAUACACACUGUAACAGAAAUGUGCAUCAGCUUACAUUUAGCAUGCUAACUACUUAUCAUAUUUGCAGCAUUCCUUCAAUGUGUAUAUAUUUUUGUAGUGUCACGAUAAAAGCAAAAUUGGGAAAAGAGAAAGAAAGACAGU
This is a long non-coding RNA of Trematomus bernacchii (emerald rockcod), 470 nucleotides long. RefSeq lists it as uncharacterized. The record is from RefSeq and is a predicted model, not a curated record. Lineage: Eukaryota; Metazoa; Chordata; Actinopteri; Perciformes; Nototheniidae. The transcript has 3 exons.